UACGGAGGGUGCAAGCGUUGUUCGGAAUUACUGGGCGUAAAGCGCGUGUAGGCGGCUUGGCAAGUCGGGUGUGAAAUCCCCGGGCUCAACCCUGGAACUGCAUCCGAAACUACCUAGCUAGAGUCCUGGAGAGGAAGGCAGAAUUCCCGGUGUAGGGGUGAAAUCCGUAGAUACCGGGAGGAAUACCAGUAGCGAAGGCGGCCUUCUGGACAGUGACUGACGCUGAGACGCGAAAGCGUGGGGAGCAAACAGG
RNAcentral lists this ribosomal RNA (253 nucleotides) under uncultured bacterium. RNAcentral describes it as "partial 16S ribosomal RNA". It matches the Rfam family "Bacterial small subunit ribosomal RNA", at positions 524 to 776 of the family's 1533-position model. The record is from RNAcentral.